GGUUCUAUGGUGUAAUCGGUUAGCACUCUGGACUUUGAAUCCAGUGAUCCGAGUUCAAGUCUCGGUAGAACCU
RNAcentral lists this transfer RNA (73 nucleotides) under Glossina brevipalpis. RNAcentral's name for it is "tRNA tRNA-Gln". It matches the Rfam family "tRNA". Rfam says of the family: Transfer RNA (tRNA) molecules are approximately 80 nucleotides in length. Their secondary structure includes four short double-helical elements and three loops (D, anti-codon, and T loops). Lineage: Eukaryota; Metazoa; Arthropoda; Insecta; Diptera; Glossinidae. The record is from RNAcentral.